UCUCCGUUGGUGAACCAGCGGAGGGAUCAUUACAGGACUCGCAAGACUCCCGUAAACCACUGUGAACCUACCUAUUGUUGCCUCGGCGGGUGCUCGAGCUCAGCGCUCAGCCCGCCGGCGGCCCCUACCAAACCUCUUGUUUUUACAGUGUCUCCUCUGAGUUACAAACACAAAUGAAUCAAAACUUUCAACAACGGAUCUCUUGGUUCUGGCAUCGAUGAAGAACGCAGC
Molecule: unclassified non-coding RNA, 231 nt
Filed under: uncultured fungus
Lineage: Eukaryota; Fungi
Description: sequence contains ITS1, 5.8S rRNA gene
Rfam family: 5.8S ribosomal RNA (bases 183-231)
Source: RNAcentral